GCUCAAAUUUGUAAUCUGGCGUCUUUCAGGCGUCCGAGUUGUAAUCUAUAGAAGUGUUUUCCGUGCUGGACCAUGUCCAAGUCCCUUGGAACAGGGUAUCAAAGAGGGUGACAAUCCCGUACUUGACAUGACCACCAGUGCUCUGUGAUACACUUUCUACGAGUCGAGUUGUUUGGGAAUGCAGCUCAAAAUGGGUGGUAAAUUCCAUCUAAAGCUAAAUAUUGGCGAGAGACCGAUAGCGAACAAGUACCGUGAGGGAAAGAUGAAAAGCACUUUGGAAAGAGAGUUAAACAGUACGUGAAAUUGUUGAAAGGGAAACGAUUGAAGUCAGUCGUGUUCAUUGGACUCAGCCGGUUUUCGGUGUAUUUCCUUUGAACGGGUCAACAUCAGUUUUGUCCGGUGGAUAAAGGCAGGAAGAAAGUGGCUCCCUCGGGAGUGUUAUAGCUUUCUGUCACAUACACUGGAGGAGACUGAGGACUGCAGCUCGCCUUUUGGCCGGGGUUCGCCCACGUUCGAGCUUAGGAUGUUGACAUAAU
This 536-nucleotide ribosomal RNA is filed under the name Vanrija musci. RNAcentral's name for it is "LSU rRNA". It matches the Rfam family "Eukaryotic large subunit ribosomal RNA", at positions 107 to 635 of the family's 3401-position model. The record is from RNAcentral. Lineage: Eukaryota; Fungi; Basidiomycota; Tremellomycetes; Trichosporonales; Trichosporonaceae.